This 406-nucleotide ribosomal RNA is filed under the name uncultured bacterium. RNAcentral describes it as "partial 16S ribosomal RNA". It matches the Rfam family "Bacterial small subunit ribosomal RNA", at positions 30 to 526 of the family's 1533-position model. The record is from RNAcentral.
AUUGAACGCUGGCGGCAGGCCUAACACAUGCAAGUCGAACGAGCGGCGGACGGGUGAGUAAUGUAUGGGAAACUGCCCGAUGGAGGGGGAUAACUACUGGAAACGGUAGCUAAUACCGCAUACCAUCGGAUGAGCCCAUAUGGGAGUAGCUAGUAGGUGGGGUAACGGCUCACCUAGGCGCCGAUCCCUAGCUGGUCUGAGAGGAGGAUCAGCCACACUGGGACGGACACACGUUCCAGACUCCUACGGGAGGCAGCAGUGGGGAAUAUUGCACAAUGGGCGCAAGCCUGAUGCAGCCAUGCCGCGUGUAUGAAGAAGGCCUUCGGGUUGUAAAGUACUUUCAGCGAGGAGGCGUUACUCGCAGAAGAAGCACCGGCUAACUCCGUGCCAGCAGCCGCGGUAAUAC